CCCUAUGGGGUGCAGCAGGCUCAAAGCAAGCAGAAGGGCAAACAGGCGUGACCGCAUAUCAAUGAUUCCUAAAGGCAGUAUACCAGUUUUUAAAGGGAUUAUUGAUUACUUUCCUGUUUCGCGAAUAUAGAUAACUUUGUCCACCUUACACCGUCUCCUACUGUCAUUCUGAGCCUCUGUUGCGAAGAAUCUGAUUAAUAACAAACAGAUCCUUCCCGCAAGGGGACGCGAGCAGUCGCGUUGCUAAGCAUGACAGUGUCGGAGCACGAGCGUUUGUCGGUGGGUUGGCUAUUGAGAUAUUCAGGUUAGUCGAGGUAAUGUGACGCCAACCCACCCUACGAAAAUGAUGCUAUCGUAUCGAUCACUACGCCUUACAACCCAAAAUCAUGUGGGUUGACCGGACUGCCAUUAUAGCGCAACUCGAAGUGCAGGUGAGAGC
RNAcentral lists this ribosomal RNA (439 nucleotides) under uncultured prokaryote. Its description in RNAcentral is "partial 16S ribosomal RNA". The record is from RNAcentral.